RNAcentral lists this long non-coding RNA (387 nucleotides) under Paramuricea clavata. Lineage: Eukaryota; Metazoa; Cnidaria; Anthozoa; Malacalcyonacea; Plexauridae. The record is from RNAcentral.
CAGUACUAGGCGAGUUUGUUAGGCAUGCGAACGGCGAGAAAAUGCCGAAAAGAUGCGUUGUUGCCGGUUGUAACAACAUAGGAGAUAAGGAAAAAGAAAUAUCGUUGCAUGCAAUUUCUUAUUCGGGGGACGAACGGCCCGAAGCGAAAAAAAUACGAAAGAAAUGGAAGCCUCAAACGUGCAAAAUUAUGGACGCCGACGUCGUAUUCAGUCAUAUGCUCUGAGCAUUUCAAGCCCGAGGAUUUUUUGCGACGGUUUUCCCAUGUCGAAGGUGAAAGCUUCGUUGGCAACAGAUGGCUCAAAAGGGACGAGAUCGGAAUUUGUGUAUUCCCAACAAUCAUGCCAUCAGCUGACGCACAGAAAGUUUCAGACAGAUACAAGAGAAUG